Molecule: ribosomal RNA, 119 nt
Filed under: Triticum aestivum (bread wheat)
Lineage: Eukaryota; Viridiplantae; Streptophyta; Magnoliopsida; Poales; Poaceae
Also listed under: 1 other name
Source: RNAcentral
GGAUGCGAUCAUACCAGCACUAAAGCACCGGAUCCCAUAAGAACUCCGAAGUUAAGCGUGCUUGGGCGAGAGUAGUACUAGGAUGGGUGACCUCCUGGGAAGUCCUCGUGUUGCAUUCC